This 414-nucleotide long non-coding RNA is filed under the name Sus scrofa (pig). RNAcentral's name for it is "lncRNA (ENSSSCG00025033728.1)". Lineage: Eukaryota; Metazoa; Chordata; Mammalia; Artiodactyla; Suidae. The record is from RNAcentral.
CUUCUCAGAAGUGUGACUUCUCCAGUUGGCUCCCCCCCGGCUGCGUGCACAGGCCGGAAGUGGCAGGGCCAUCUGGAGCCAGUUCUGCCCAAGCUGGAGCUGUCUUAAGAGGGUACAUGUCGGGGAGAAAGGCUUCUGGAUUUGACAGCGCCUGGAGGUUCUAGAAAAGGAAGGAAGGAGAUAAGGGCCAUCUUGGGAGCCUUAUUAAUAUGUACAUACACAUGUUGAGCUUGGUAUGUCCAUAGCGGUUUCCUCGUGAAGGUUAAAACAAGUCAAUCCACCCAUCUGAUGGAUGUAUUUCAUUUAUCCUCAUCUUCAUCGUCAAUAGUGUUUAUGGCUGCUGAGGAAUAGAAAUCAACAGACAGUUUGCUGUGAAUGUGAAAAGGCUUGCCCUCUAUUUGCCUGGAUUUUUUU